RNAcentral lists this small RNA (679 nucleotides) under Vigna angularis var. angularis. RNAcentral's name for it is "Non-protein coding transcript". Lineage: Eukaryota; Viridiplantae; Streptophyta; Magnoliopsida; Fabales; Fabaceae. The record is from RNAcentral.
AUCAAAAACACAUAGUUUCAUCUCAAUUUUUCUCUCUUCCCUAGAGUUUAACACAAACAAAUAUAUGCAUGUGAGGGGUAUAGUGAUUGAUCUAGUUGCACAUCACGUGUUUGAUGAAAUGAAGUUGUGACUAAUGGAUGUAACCGGUGACAGUAUAAUGAAUCUUGACCAAAGAAUUGCUGGAGCAUUAGAUAAAGAGUGUCCCUAAAGGUCAAGGCACUGUUAGAAUGAUGAUCACCAGAGAGGAGUGUGAGAAGUUGAGAGAUCAAGCCCCGGACUCAAUUUGGAUGGAGGAUGUAAAGGAUUGGACAACUGAUGUUCUCAUUGAUGCUCUUCACAGAGUAGAAGAAUAUGUGAUGUGAUGGGAUCGAAUCAUUUUGCUACAGUUACCCUCAUAUUCACCAAGGAGAAUUGCACUCUUUUAGCAAAUGUGAAUUAAGGAAUGGCUCAUUUUGUUAUAUCUUUUGCUGAGUGUAUAGGAUAAGUGCUGUGUACGCUCAUCAUAGCAGAAACUUUGAUCAGAGAAGUAACUAAAUUAGACAAGGUUAAUAGAAUUGGAGAUACCUGUGUCAUUCAUAAAUAAUGUAUUAGUUGGUUGGUUGGUUUUGUAUAUUGACACAUUACCAGUCAAUAAUAGUUUCUUGAUUUAAAAGUAACGUUUUUUUUAUAUUUGAUUUCU